AGAUAGACGAUGAAGAGAUGAGUAGUAACAAGUUAGCUUAAGAGAGGUCACGUUGGGUGAGAGUGACUGCAAACGCGUUACGAAUAUGGUCUUGGAGUAAACUUAAGUUGAGUCGCUGAUGAAACUUAAGUGGUGGUGCCCAUUACCGCACAAGAGUACGAUUUGUACUCGUGAAGCUACUUGGCGUGAGUCGGGUAGAAAUUAAGGUGGUGCCGCGUGAUAGACGUCCUUGGA
Molecule: non-coding RNA, 234 nt
Filed under: Secundilactobacillus oryzae
Lineage: Bacteria; Bacillati; Bacillota; Bacilli; Lactobacillales; Lactobacillaceae
Description: Lactobacillus oryzae T-box sequence
Rfam family: T-box leader
About the family: Uncharged tRNA acts as the effector for transcription antitermination of genes in the T-box leader family. T-boxes are found upstream of many aminoacyl-tRNA synthetase genes and some amino acid biosynthetic genes usually in Gram-positive bacteria.
Source: RNAcentral